Molecule: ribosomal RNA, 261 nt
Filed under: uncultured bacterium
Lineage: Bacteria
Description: partial 16S ribosomal RNA
Rfam family: Bacterial small subunit ribosomal RNA
Source: RNAcentral
GUUUACCUACGGGGGGCAGCAGUGAGGAAUAUUGGUCAAUGGGCGGGAGCCUGAACCAGCCAAGUCGCGUGAGGGAAGACGGUCCUAUGGAUUGUAAACCUCUUUAGGCGGGGAGCAAUGCCGGGCACGCGUGCCCGGAGGGAGAGUACCCGCAGAAUAAGCAUCGGCUAACUCCGUGCCAGCAGCCGCGGUAAUACGGAGGAUGCAAGCGUUGUCCGGAUUUAUUGGGCGUAAAGCGAGUGCAGGCGGUUCAAUAAGUCU